This 369-nucleotide long non-coding RNA is filed under the name Mus spretus (western wild mouse). RNAcentral's name for it is "lncRNA (ENSMSPG00010002107.1)". Lineage: Eukaryota; Metazoa; Chordata; Mammalia; Rodentia; Muridae. The record is from RNAcentral.
GCCAGACCAAAGCCGGGAAGAGACAAAGCUGGCGGCCAGUGGGUCUUGCAAGGCCAGGAAAGAUAUAUGCUUGAUGGUGACACUGUACCUCCCAUGGACAUGACUUGAAUAGAUCACCUAGAAAUGACAGCUGUCCGUUCAGAACUGGCAAUGAAGAGGAAGCAGCAAAAUUGAAAAUACAAAUACUAAAAGAAGUAUCCAGAUGAGAAACGCAUGUGCAUGCCUGUGCCCACUGCGUUCAGAAUAAGGUGUCAGAUCCUCUAAAACCGAAGGUUUUAUAUAUUUCCUGAAUCCUGGUUGGGUAUUAUUUUGUUUUUUAUAAUUUGUCUCUUCAGAAGAAUACACCAAAGGAAGCUGGAUACAGAAAAA